Molecule: ribosomal RNA, 386 nt
Filed under: uncultured bacterium
Lineage: Bacteria
Description: bacterial SSU rRNA
Rfam family: Bacterial small subunit ribosomal RNA
Source: RNAcentral
AUUGAACGCUGGCGGCAUGCCUUACACAUGCAAGUCGAACGGCAGCACGGGAGCAAUCCUGGUGGCGAGUGGCGAACGGGUGAGUAAUAUAUCGGAACGUGCCCGGUCGUGGGGAUAACGUAGCGAAAGCUACGCUAAUACCGCAUACGAUCUACGGAUGAAAGCGGGGGAUCGCAAGACCUCGCGCGAUUGGAGCGGCCGAUAUCAGAUUAGGUAGUUGGUGAGGUAAAGGCUCACCAAGCCAACGAUCUGUAGCUGGUCUGAGAGGACGACCAGCCACACUGGAACUGAGACACGGUCCAGACUCCUACGGGAGGCAGCAGUGGGGAAUUUUGGACAAUGGGCGCAAGCCUGAUCCAGCAAUGCCGCGUGCAGGAUGAAGGCCU